RNAcentral lists this unclassified non-coding RNA (252 nucleotides) under fungal sp. RNAcentral describes it as "partial internal transcribed spacer region". The stretch from base 1 to 46 matches the Rfam family "Eukaryotic small subunit ribosomal RNA", at positions 1786 to 1831 of the family's 1831-position model. Lineage: Eukaryota; Fungi. The record is from RNAcentral.
AAGUCGUAACAAGGUUUCCGUAGGUGAACCUGCGGAAGGAUCAUUACCAAAUCCCUUUAUAUGCAACUGUGAACUGUGCUUCGUCCUUGGGGCAUGAAUAUUGUAGACUUCGGUUUACUUUAGGAGUGCCCCAAAAGGACUCAACUCACUUGUGAGUUGGACCUUAACAUUUAAACAACUUACAAACUUUUGAUGGAUUGUUUUUAACAAAAAUAACAAUGACAACUUUUAACGGUGGAUCUCUUGGCUCGU